This 610-nucleotide long non-coding RNA is filed under the name Durio zibethinus. Its description in RNAcentral is "long non-coding RNA (DZIB_LNC001044)". The record is from RNAcentral. Lineage: Eukaryota; Viridiplantae; Streptophyta; Magnoliopsida; Malvales; Malvaceae.
GUUUGAUAAAUUUAAGGUGGUAGUUGGACAUUUAUUUUUUGUAUAUAUUUAUUUUAUUUGAAUGAAAAGUUUAUAUUCAUGUUAACGACUUAUUGUAUUCCUAUAUAUUAUGUUAAGAAAAAUGUCAAUGGGUUGAGUCAGAGGAUGCAUUAGUUCAAUGCACAUGGAACAAUAUUUUCAAAAACCAAUUGAAAGGUUUGUUGUCAAAUGAGAGGGAACUAGCGAUGAAAGAACAUGAAGUUUAUAACAUCAUACACUGUAAAGGAAUGGAGCAAAGGUGGAUCACUGCUCUGAUAUGGGAUGCUCUUAUUGAGAAUGUACAGAGCACUCCAAAAUGACAAAAGUUCUUGGCCAAAGCCAAAGCAAAUCAUUAGACACAAAAAGAAAAAAAUAUUAUAAAGCACAUUAACGGUUUGAUUGCAUUUCCUAUUCAUAGAAAAAAUGGUAUGAUCUUUUUUCACGAAUUAUUUCUAUUAUCACAUUUCAAUUUUAUAUAAGUUGUAUUGUUAUAUAUUUCAUUGAAUGUCUUUAAAGGAAUGCAGUCACUUGAGAUGCAAUGAGAACCUAUAUUUAAAGAAUGGUUCAAUCACACUCACAGAUAUUUAGGAGG